RNAcentral lists this small RNA (148 nucleotides) under Enterococcus caccae. RNAcentral's name for it is "Listeria sRNA rli38". It matches the Rfam family "Listeria sRNA rli38". The record is from RNAcentral. Lineage: Bacteria; Bacillati; Bacillota; Bacilli; Lactobacillales; Enterococcaceae.
UGGAGUGGGAAUAAAAAGCCAACAUAAUAAGGAUGGGGAAUGCCGAUAAAUCAACGUUUUUCAACUUAUGAAAUGCUUGAUUUCCAUUGAAAAUGAUAUGGUUCCCUACCAUUUUCCCUGCCAAGUAAUCACUUGACAGGGAUUUAUU